GUUUGAAGUGGUGAACUGAAGCAUUUUGGUCUGAAGCAUACCUAAUAGUAGAGACUAAAUGAAGGGGCUUUGGGUUCUGUUUAAUGUUAUCUAUUCAGGAGCAUUCAAAUGCAAGCUCUCCUCAGAAGCUGCCUGAACGAGGCAAAUUAUUUUGAAAGGAAAUUGCUGUAAGAUAUAUGCAAUGGAGGUUCCAAGGGAGUUCACUCAACUCAACUCAACUCAAC
Molecule: unclassified non-coding RNA, 224 nt
Filed under: Hevea brasiliensis (rubber tree)
Lineage: Eukaryota; Viridiplantae; Streptophyta; Magnoliopsida; Malpighiales; Euphorbiaceae
Source: RNAcentral